RNAcentral lists this long non-coding RNA (841 nucleotides) under Cricetulus griseus (Chinese hamster). RNAcentral describes it as "lncRNA (ENSCGRG00000025217.1)". The record is from RNAcentral. Lineage: Eukaryota; Metazoa; Chordata; Mammalia; Rodentia; Cricetidae.
CAUCUGAUUUUUACUUUAACUAAAAAAUUCUUAUGUCUGGCUUGUUAAAGUUAGCUUUCUAUUGUAGACAAUGUAUAAAAAUCUAGAAAGAGAUAAAUCUCAACUUGAAGAUGAAAUACUACUUUUAGAGAAGAAACUAGAAGAAGAGAGAGCUAAGCAUUAUGAACAAGAUGAAUUGGCAAAAACUAACAUCAGUAUAUUUCAAAUGAAUGAAAAACACCUUAAGGAAGUAAUACAAGAUACCCUGAAUGAAAAUUAUCAACUUGAGGAAAGCCUGAAGGAGCUUUUAGAGGAAUUUGAAAAAACGAAAGAACAAACUGACGAACUGAAUAAUCAGAAAGCAAUAUGUGGAAGAUCCAAAGUACAGGCAGAGCAAGUCCUAAAUGAAAAAGAAAAUGAGAUCAAGUCUCUGAUGGAGAGCCUGAUGAAGACCAAAGUUUGGACUUGCUUGUUUGGAGACUAUAUAACAGAUGAUGAUGGGCCAGUAUCCUCAAAAUUGGAACUGAGAAAGAAUGAAACCCAAGGUGACCCAGUGAACUCAACUCUGCCCAACUCUGUUCCUGCUGAAUCAGAGGGAGCUGGCCCUGGCUCCAUCCCUUCACCGGUUCCCCAGGAUAGAGACCCCAGAGGCCCUCCCAUUGCAGAAGAUCCAAGAAGUCCCGUUAUGAGUAGGCCACCCCUAUCCCCACCGCCUACUCUGGGAAACAUCCAUGCUGGUCCUCCAGAUUCUGUUACAUCAAGGGACUUUGCUGGCCCACCUUUCCCGCCGUACCCAGGUAGGCUUUUUUUUUUUUUUUUUAUAAGUCCAAGUAUGUGUCAAUAUUCAUCUGUGCGUUUCUUA